This 1386-nucleotide ribosomal RNA is filed under the name Fusarium sp. 6B. RNAcentral's name for it is "eukaryotic LSU rRNA". It matches the Rfam family "Eukaryotic large subunit ribosomal RNA", at positions 14 to 1409 of the family's 3401-position model. The record is from RNAcentral. Lineage: Eukaryota; Fungi; Ascomycota; Sordariomycetes; Hypocreales; Nectriaceae.
CGGAAAAGAACAUUCCCCCCCCUCCCCUUACCGGUGGGCGACGAGAGGAGGGGAUAAAAAAGAACUAGGAACACCAAGAUUGCUUUGAAGGGGAGGAAGCGCAACAGUUAAAAUUGAAAUUUGGCUUUCGGGCCCGAAUUUUAAUUUUUAGAGGAUACUUUUGAUGCGGGCCCUUCCGGAAUUCCCCGGGAACGGGACCCCCAAAAGAGGGUGAGACCCCCCUUUGGUUAGAACCCAAAUCUCUGGAAAAGUCCUUUGGACGAGUCGAGUAGUUUGGGAAUGCUGCUCUAAAAUGGGAGGUAUAUGUCUUCUAAAAGCUAAAUCCCGGCCCAGAGACCGAUAGCGCACAAGUAGAGUGAUCGAAAGAUGAAAAGCACUUUGAAAAGAGAGUUAAAAAGUACGUGAAAUUGUUGAAAGGGAAGCGUUUAUGACCAGACUUGGGCUUGGUUAAUCAUCUGGGGUUCUCCCCCAGUGCACUUUUCCAGUCCAGGCCAGCAUCAGUUUUCCCCGGGGGAUAAAGACUUCGGGAAUGUGGCUCUCUUCGGGGAGUGUUAUAGCCCGUUGUGUAAUACCCUGGGGGGGACUGAGGUUCGCGCAUCUGCAAGGAUGCUGGCGUAAUGGUCAUCAACGACCCGUCUUGAAACACGGACCAAGGAGUCGUCUUCGUAUGCGAGUGUUCGGGUGUCAAACCCCUACGCGUAAUGAAAGUGAACGCAGGUGAGAGCUUCGGCGCAUCAUCGACCGAUCCUGAUGUUCUCGGAUGGAUUUGAGUAAGAGCAUACGGGGCCGGACCCGAAAGAAGGUGAACUAUGCCUGUAUAGGGUGAAGCCAGAGGAAACUCUGGUGGAGGCUCGCAGCGGUUCUGACGUGCAAAUCGAUCGUCAAAUAUGGGCAUGGGGGCGAAAGACUAAUCGAACCUUCUAGUAGCUGGUUUCCGCCGAAGUUUCCCUCAGGAUAGCAGUGUUGAACUCAGUUUUAUGAGGUAAAGCGAAUGAUUAGGGACUCGGGGGCGCUAUUUAGCCUUCAUCCAUUCUCAAACUUUAAAUAUGUAAGAAGCUCUUGUUGCUUAAUUGAACGUGAGCAUUCGAAUGUAUCAACACUAGUGGGCCAUUUUUGGUAAGCAGAACUGGCGAUGCGGGAUGAACCGAACGCGAGGUUAAGGUGCCAGAGUAGACGCUCAUCAGACACCACAAAAGGUGUUAGUACAUCUUGACAGCAGGACGGUGGCCAUGGAAGUCGGAAUCCGCUAAGGACUGUGUAACAACUCACCUGCCGAAUGUACUAGCCCUGAAAAUGGAUGGCGCUCAAGCGUCUCACCCAUACCUCGCCCUCAGGGUAGAAACGAUGCCCUGAGGAGUAGGCGGACGUGGAGGUCAGUGACGAAGC